RNAcentral lists this ribosomal RNA (253 nucleotides) under uncultured bacterium. RNAcentral's name for it is "partial 16S ribosomal RNA". It matches the Rfam family "Bacterial small subunit ribosomal RNA", at positions 524 to 776 of the family's 1533-position model. The record is from RNAcentral.
UACGUAGGGUCCGAGCGUUGUCCGGAGUGCCUGGGCGUAAAGCGCGCGCAGGCGGCCCGCUAGGUGUCCUGUGAAAGCCCCGUGCUCAACGCGGGAGGGUCAGGGCAAACCGGCGGGCUUGAGGCCGGUAGAGGUGGGUGGAACUCCUGGUGGAGUGGUGAAAUGCGUAGAGAUCAGGAAGAACACCCGUGGCGAAGGCGGCCCACUGGGCCGGACCUGACGCUGAGGCGCGAAGGCGUGGGGAGCGAACGGG